GCCUCCCGCUGGAACUGCCCCCCCCGCAGAGCAGCCGUGCGCCCUGCCCCGGCGUUGUUCAGCGCAUCAGCUGAUACCAUGUCCCGCAAUUCGACGUUUUUGUUUCUUGACAACUUCAUGCAUCUUUUUAGCAGGUUUUGUUUUGGACAGAGGUUUUGCGCGUAUUUACAGAAUUCAGUGCGAUGCGUAAUAUUCAGACGCGUUGUGAAUAAGCAGAAUUUGUUAGCUUGUUAAAAUUAAGUGAUUCCCAGUAAGCACAGGGUAUAAUCCUAUACUUAGGCUUCUGGCUCUCAUUUAUUUCGCAGCACAACUUUUUGUCUUGGACACACACUUCAGCGCUACAAAUUAAUCUUUGAGUUUAGGAAGCCAAGUGUCUCCGAGCUUUUUGACAGAAAACAGCGAACAGUGUUGUAUUGACCACCUUCAUGCUAUUUCUGACGGAUGGUGUCACUAAACUUGAGCUCACUUGUCACAAUGGAAUUUAAUUAUCUGCUGGAGAGAAGCCCUGACAGCUGUGGCGUAGGUUUUUCAAUGUGAUGUUGCCUGGAUUGCAAGAAAAAUAUCAAGGGCUGGUGAGAACAGCCAUGUUCUAAAAGCAUCUCUGCCUGGGUUAGACCACUGCCUACCAAAGAGAAAAGCACUACUGCAGGAUGCUCUCCAGAAACCCAAGAAACAGAAAACCAUGCUCUUCUCCACACUAUUUCCCUUAUCAGCACAUCGCGUGGUGUGUACGCAGUGUCUCGGUGCAGCCGGGUGAGUGUGUUGUCUGCACAGUAAUCACCAAGAACAAAGACUCAUCUGCACGGUCAGUGAGCAGGGCUGGGGGGCCGUGUGUGCACACGCGUGCCUGAGACACUGCCUGGCUUUGCAGGGCUGUGGCAGGAGGGAGCUGAGCCGGCAUAAGCCCCAAACUACAUGCAGCACCUACCUUGUGUGGUUCAGGGCCCACAGGUGCUGGUCACUGGGUGCCACAGGAGCCAUCCCAAGCACAGGAGAGCAGGAAGUGCUCCUCGGCCAUGCUCAUCCAUGGCAUCAGGGACCAGCACCGUGAGGAUGGAAAGUGGCAACUUGCCCUUUUUAAAGUUCUUGAGAAACUUUCACAUAGGUUGAUACUUUGACACUGGUGUUCCUUGCCAAAGACAAGGGAAACUCCACGAUUGUAGUAAAUAUUUACCUUAAACGAAAUGAGAAUAAUUAAAUGGCACCUUCAUUGCUAUAUUCUAUUCAAUUAUGCUGACUAUGAACUAAUUGCUGACUCAGUUCAUUUACAUGUUAAUAAAUGUCUGUGUUUAAGGUC
Non-coding RNA from Cyanistes caeruleus (blue tit), 1297 nucleotides. The record is from RefSeq and is a predicted model, not a curated record. NCBI's taxonomy places the organism in Eukaryota, Metazoa, Chordata, Aves, Passeriformes, Paridae.